UACGUAGGGUGCAAGCGUUGUCCGGAAUUAUUGGGCGUAAAGAGCUCGUAGGCGGUCUGUCGCGUCGGCUGUGAAAACCCGAGGCUCAACCUCGGGCCUGCAGUCGAUACGGGCAAACUAGAGUACUGCAGGGGAGACUGGAAUUCCUGGUGUAGCGGUGGAAUGCGCAGAUAUCAGGAGGAACACCGGUGGCGAAGGCGGGUCUCUGGGCCGAUACUGACGCUGAGGAGCGAAAGCGUGGGGAGCGAACAGG
Molecule: ribosomal RNA, 253 nt
Filed under: uncultured bacterium
Lineage: Bacteria
Description: partial 16S ribosomal RNA
Rfam family: Bacterial small subunit ribosomal RNA
Source: RNAcentral